CUCGUACUGAGCUCGGAUGUCCCGCAGCGCCGCCGUCAGGUCCGGCUUGGACAUGUCCAUCUGGAUCUGGACUUGGGUCUCCUGCAUCUGGGCCUGCAGCUCCCGGAUCUCCUGCAGGAAAAAGGACAAGGAAUGUGAUCUCCUCCUGCAGGGUCUCGAUGCGUCGCUCCAGGUCCAGACGGGCCAGGGUGGCAGCGUCCACGUCCUGCAUCCAAACACACAUUCACCCUUCUACCGUAAGUCCCCCCCAAAAAUAUUGAUAACUUCCAAAAUAAUGAAACAAUCUAAAUGCUCCUUCAAGGUGUGAAAUGAUCACUUAUUUACCUCCAUCUGACACAAAACCCCAUUUCAUUUGGUUCAGAUUAACUUUGGCCUGCAUUAUCUGGUCCAGGACUCACCGCUCUGAACGCUGCCAGGUUAUUCUCCGUCUCCUCUUUCUGAAGGAUCUCCUCCUGGAGUCUG
This is a long non-coding RNA of Sphaeramia orbicularis (orbiculate cardinalfish), 462 nucleotides long. RefSeq lists it as uncharacterized. Lineage: Eukaryota; Metazoa; Chordata; Actinopteri; Kurtiformes; Apogonidae. The transcript is spliced from 2 exons. The record is from RefSeq and is a predicted model, not a curated record.